RNAcentral lists this long non-coding RNA (6586 nucleotides) under Zea mays. RNAcentral's name for it is "long non-coding RNA (ZMAY_LNC000657)". Lineage: Eukaryota; Viridiplantae; Streptophyta; Magnoliopsida; Poales; Poaceae. The record is from RNAcentral.
UAACAUCGUUUGACUUGACCAACCAACCAAUUCCAUUUGUGCUUGGUGGAUCUCUGAAUGUAAUGGAAGCCAACAUUAAACUGUUAGCUAAGGACUCACCUUAUGGUGAUAAUCUGGACUACAUCUACACUGAGCUUCCUGCUGCGCUGUCUCAUGUGCAUAAACUCUCGAUAACCUCGGGUCUCUUCGUUUAUGAUCAGGUUUUGUCUGUUGCUGAAAGCACUUAAGUUCAUUCAACUAUUACUUACCUUUAUUUGCACCUGACAUGUUUGUUCUUCAUCUCAUACAUAUUUUGACUCUCAUGGUUAUAUUUCAGCUGCAAGGGUUUUCCAAAACCUCAGCCAGAUUCAUCAAUCUGAGGCAUCUGACCAUGUAUUUGCCUCUUUAUGGGGAACCUAAGUCAAUUAGUGGGAUUCUUCGCUUGGCCUACCUACUGGAAUUGGCCCCAGCUCUAGAAGAAUUGGAAUUGCAUGUGAGUGGCUUACUAACUCUAUAAUCUGUUAUAGAUUUUCUCAAGGUAUGCCUUAUCUGUAGAAGUUUUUGUAGAGCAAUUGCAGCACUAGUGUACCAGGCAUAUUGUUUAUCAUCUUUGCUAAUUUUGAAUUGUCUGAAUAUUUAUUAUCCCUCAUUAAUCCAAAACUCUACAGUUCAAAAUUGCAGUAACAUAAAAGUUGUUGAGUGUUGAUGUUGUAGUUAAAAAAGAUUUAAAAAGACAAAAAAGUAGCAAUGUUGCAAUCAAUUGAACAUUGAACACUAUUGUACUUCAUUACCAUACAAGCCGAGGUGCCCAUGCGUUGGUAGUUUGCUUCAAGGUCUCGAAUACAUGAUAGUUUAAAAUUGUAUUGCUGGAACUGGGUGAUGUUCCACAGCUUAGAAAGUGGUCUUAUAAGUAGGCCUGUGGGUACCGUGUACGAAUGUAAAGGAGCAAGUCGAAGUGGUUUCAGCCAAAACAAAUAGACUAACUAUGUACAUUUCAUCUUCUCCACUUCCUCACGCAGCCACAGCCAUUAAUUCCCUCACACUGUCAUGAGCUCACGGUCGCACGACUCCUUCCCCCACUUCCUCUAUGCCUCCCACAACGGUGACCCACUAGGCGAAACAACACUUCUACGCCUCCCUCGACGGACAACCCACCCGAGCCCACACAUCUCCUGCAACGCUGCUCCUCCAGCGACUCUGCUCCUCGCCUCCUCCCACAACGGCGAAGUGCAGUUCUCCUCCCGCGAAACGGCAAGGGUGGCGCUGCUCCUCGCCGCCUCCAUGACGGCGCUCCUCCCGCGACCGGCUGCUUUGGCCACCCAACCAACAUUGUGCAUGCCAAGAAAACAAUGCUGUGGUUGAUGUCAUAAUAAACACAUAUUGGUUUGAGCUCUCACAUAAAACAAUUUUCGUAACAUUCACUAGUGAUGGACAGAGAAUAGACAAAAAAAACACAAGGAACAACAGCCAAUGAUGUAUAUGCCUGUGGCAUUGGGCUGGCUGGUUAAGCAUAUGGCCAACAGUCAUUUGUUGUCAUGUGGCCAAAUGUGAAUAGGUGAGGGUAGUAAAAUGAACCUUUUCCCUUCAAAGAAAUCAAACUUUUAGCCUUUUAUUUUACCGUUCCCAUCGUCUUCUCCAGCCAUUCUACAAGCAGAAGCGCUCCUCUUCAGUUCUGCCUGCGCAGAUCUAUCUUGGUUGUGCCCUCUCUCUCCCCCCCCCCCCCCAUAGCCACAGUCCUCAUACUCCCCUGCUUUCUUCCCCCCUCUCUGGCUUCUUUUUAACGAGGUUGUUCCUGCAUUCCCGGAACGUUCUGGUUACUAUGUUUGGGACCAAACCAAACAUUUAGCUCAAUAUCGCCACACUUAGGCUUUAAACCCCAAAAGGGCAAGCUUGAUGUGGCGGUGAGAGCUGUCUCACUUGAGUCAUCAUGUUGGUGAGAGCCUCUGGCACUGGGUCUGCUCUCUUAGGCUUUAAACCCACCAUAUGUCUGAUAUAUUUCAUUGGUCUCAUUUGUGUUGUGUGAAUCAUUUUCACCAAAUGAUAACUUUACCAAGCAAGGUUUUCAAGUCGAUAAGUCGAGUCGACAAGGUACCGACUUGGUGACUAGACGAUAAGUCAGUUGACUAGUCGUCGACUUGCCAAUAUAGUGGAUGUUUUCCCUAUAUAAUUGCUUCAUAUAGACAAUAUAACAUUUAUAUAUGAAGAAAUAGGAUGUUUUACCUCAUUUGAAGCCUGAAAUUGAACGAAACUGAAAUAAACAACAAGUCUUACCUCAUUUGAAUCCUCAAACUGAACCAAAUCAGACACAUAAGUGAUAAGUCAUAAACUCAUAAGUCAUAACAGCCAUAUAGUUCAAAUUGGAAAACAAAUAGCAAGAAAAUAUAGUUCAAACUUGAAAGGAAAAAAGUCAUAAACUUAUAAGAAAAUAUAGUCCAACCCCUGUGAGGCAGUAGUGUGGCAGUCCCACCUGUCAACAUAGCUGUGGUAGAACAUACCACCACCACUGUCGCUUUUUAAGUAGUGAAGAUUAUUUGGGUGAUACAAUACAGUUUUAUCCAUUUCUGAAGCCAAUUGGAUUUUUUUGUAUUGGCAUUGAUGAAAGUAUGUGAAAUGUAAACUGUAAGUAGUACUUUCAUACGGAUGUCAAAUAUAACAGUCCUAGUUGUGAUGUUAUUAGGGUUACAUUGCUGCUAGAGGACACUAGGACUAGGAUAGUAUGUGUUUCAUUAAACCUUACAAGUAUGUUUGAUUCCACGUUUAUUGGUUUCACAGGCCUGUUCUUAUUGUUUUCAUAUGUAUGAUGUGAUUCUAAAUGUGUAAUUUGUGUUUGCUUAAUUUCUCCUUGUUUAUUUUUUUCCCCACAUUCAUAUGAAAAAUUGAUAUGAUGGAUCUCAUAAGUCUGGCAUCUUUGCAUGCAGGUGAAUGGCGGUGGCGUGGAUGUUGGGUGGGCACUCAGACGGAAUAUGUUACCGUACUCACACAAUAGGCUCAAGAGGGUCCUUAUUUCAGGAGCCACUGUAUGGGAGGGGCUAAUGGAGCUGGCAUACUACAUUCUUCGGAGUGCCAAUAGACUCGAAAGUAUGGUCUUAGAUCCAAAGAUAAGGAUUGGGGGUCCUCAGCUGGAUGGUUGGAUGAUUGAUAUUGGUAGGGAGACGAUCAAAAAUAUUUUUGAGGGAGAGGAGUUUCAGAGCAUUAUUACUAUUCUGUAAGAAUGGUAAGAUAGGCCACAGGAUUUUGGUGGUCACACCAAGUGGCCAUGUUUGAUUAUGCCAUAGGUUUGACCAGUAUGGUCAUAAAUGUUUGUUGUUUUCAUUUCCGACCUCAGGAAAUGUAAAUUAAUACUCCCUCCAUCCAUUUUUCAUUCGCGUAUACUUCUCGGCAGUGACCAAAUUAAGUUUGAAAAAAAAACCGUUUCAUUUUUGCUGUUGCAUGUGACGUGGCCCACGCCUGCAUGCAUGCGAAUAAAAGAUAGGACACAUGAAGUUUAGUUAGUAAGGGUAAGAAUACCAAAAUACUUUUGAGCAUUCUUCUGUCAUUAAUGUAACUGAAAUAAAAGAGGGACUGUCAGUGGAAUUAAUAUGAUUUAAUCUGGGUGUUUUGUUUAUGUGAACUAAUUUUAGUUUCUUCAUUUUAUUUUAUUUUAGUUCUUAAAAUGAGAAAUACAUAAAAACAGAGUUUUAGUUUUGGUAUCUGCCAAUUUAGAAACUAUGAUGGAACAAAAUGGAGGACUAAAACUUAGUCUCUAGAAACUAAACAUCCCUUAGGGCUGAUUUGGUGACCAGGGAUCACGGAGGGAUUAGAGGGGAUUGAGGGGGAAAUUAGUUUAUUUUUCCCUCAAUCCCCUCCGAUCCCCCCGUGAUCCCCUUAUCACCAAAUUAACCCUUAAGGGCUGAUUUGGUGCUAAGGGAUCCUAAGGGGAUCCAUGAGGGAGGAAUCCCCUUGUUAUUCAAAAUUGAAUUGUAAGGGGAUUUCUCCCCCAUGGAUCCCCUUGGAAUCCCUUACCACCAAAUUAGCCCUAAGGGGUGUUUAAAUGCACUAGAGCUAAAACUUAGUCUCUAGAAACUAAACAUCUCUUAGGGCUUGUUCGUUUUGGUGAUAAUCCACAUGUAUUGGGUGGGAUUGAGUCGGUUUAAAUCCAUAACAAGUCAAAAUACAUCUCAAUCCCACCCAAUACACUCAAAUACACAUGUAAUAUCAAUAACCGAACAAGCCCUUAAGGAGAGAGACAUGUCCUAAACGUAUCCUCUUGGAUGGUCGCGUCCAUAUCCUCGAGCAGUGCGGUCUUGCUCAAGCAGCUUUUUGUAACGAUUAAAUACAUAUAGGACAUGCAUACGUCAGCAAGUGACUUAGUGUCGUACCCGUGAAGCACGGACGACGCGACGCUCUCCAAACCGGUAACGAUUAUGCGUGGACGAUCAGUCUGCAUAGAUUGGAAUUUGGAAAUUUUGGUCUGCUUCAUUUUUUCUCUCGCUCAUUUUUGGCCCAACGGCCCAGCCCAUUGAGUAAAGCAACUGGUGCCCUAUAUAUACGCAAAAAGACAUGACUGCCUCUGCACACCGCCACUCGCCCACACGCGAAGGCACCUAGCAGCCGCCACUCGCCGAACUGAGGAACACGCCUGGCGACGGGAUACAGCAGCAGCGCGCCCCUCUAUCCCCGACGCGACGGCGCCCUGCAGCUGCAGGCACGGCUCCACACCUCCACUCUUCUCCUCCGUCUCCGUUCAUCUCUGCUGAGUAGUUGUGGUUGUGGCGUGUGGAUUAAUCGCGAUUAAUCGAUCUGAUCGGCGCUCUGGCGAUCAGAAACGAUCGACCGAUUAGAAAACAUUGGUGCUCAGGCAUCUGCAUCGGUCAACACCCCCCCCCCCCCCCCCUCUUGUUCUGUUCCGGUACUGCCUUUCAGCCCUCGAGUCCUACUGUAGGUGUUGAAGUAGUAAUUUGUUUUGUGCGCGCAAGUUCGAUUUCAUGUCUGCAUGUCAAUAGCUUUCCAUUUUUUUGGUCAUCUAUUUAGUGCAGUUUUGAAGUACAUCAUUUUUUACCGAUUUUUCGUUACUCCAUCUGUGUGCCUGGGAAUUGCGGAUCCCCACCCACCCCACCACGUCUUCUGAAGGGAGUUCAAGAGGAACCCCUUGAAUUCUAUGGGGUUUGUCCGCUCUGAAAUUUCUUUUGCUAUUUGUUUCGAUUUUUUCCGAAGUAUCCAAACAAGACCUCACGAAUCUGCUUAUGUAUCAAUAAUGUGGGUAUAUCUAUUUGUUUGUUCUCAUAGUCUGGCAUAUGUAUUAUAGAUAAACCUGUUCCAAUGGGCAAACAAAAAGAGGGUGUGGACAAAAGAACUGCUAGGAAGAUGAUCCGAUCUACGGAAGGCUGUGCAAAGAGCAUUACUUUCGAGAGGAACAACAAAUCAGACGAUGUGCAGCUUCACGAUCUGCCGAAUGUAAGAGUAAUUCGAAAUAGUUCAAUGCUCCUUUUGCAGUAAGCAUAUAUGUGAAAUGGUUCAAAAGAGUUUGAUAGGACCAGGUAAUCAGUGGUUCAGUUUACUCGGCUGCUUACUCACGCUACUUACUACGUGCAGGACAUCCUAGGUAGCAUACUAUCACGGUUGACAUUCAGAGAAUCCUCACAGAUGGGCCUUGUUUCUCAUACCUGGCGGCGGCUGUGGAGAAGCUGUUGCCGGAAACUGGUCUUCACCAGUGCCACCAUGUUCCAACCCGGAAAUAGGAGCAUCAAACAUACAAGGACCAACUUUGCCAUGAGAGUCAACAGUUUCUUGCGUCAGCUACGCACUCAUCCUACUCUUAAUAAGUUUGUUAUUAAGUUCGGGCUGCGCAGGAAGCACACUCGCCAUGUCAACAGAUGGAUUCGCUUCUGCUCCGUGUCGCGAGCAAGACACAUCACUAUUAAUUUCACUCCUGGAGUGAAAGAUUUUUUCAUGGGUCCAGCCAACAGCAAGUACAUCUUCCCCCUGAACGUUUUCAGUGGUCCAGAAGGCUCCUCUACACAUGUCAGAACUCUUCAUCUGGGCUAUGUCUGUCUGGACACAACCUCGUCUGAUUUCAUGAUCUUUGCAAAUCUUAAGAAGCUCACUCUGCACAAAAUUUCCUUUUUGGGAGACCUCCAGUGCCUGAUGCUGCCAGAAUGCAAUUCUCUUGAGUGUCUGAGCAUCAGCUUCUGUUCCUUGCCUGGUUUAAGCACAUGCCAACCGCUGCAACGUCUGCGAUGUGUUCGUUUGCACUACUGCUAUCUAAAAAAGAUUGAGCUGGAAGCUCCAAAUCUAACAUCGUUUGACUUGACCAACCAACCAAUUCCAUUUGUGCUUGGUGGAUCUCUGAAUGUAAUGGAAGCCAACAUUAAACUGUUAGCUAAGGACUCACCUUAUGGUGAUAAUCUGGACUACAUCUACACUGAGCUUCCUGCUGCGCUGUCUCAUGUGCAUAAACUCUCGAUAACCUCGGGUCUCUUCGUUUAUGAUCAGGUUUUGUCUGUUGCUGAAAGCACUUAAGUUCAUUCAACUAUUACUUACCUUUAUUUGCACCUGACAUGUUUGUUCUUCAUCUCAUACAUAUUUUGACUCUCAUGGUUAUAUUUCAGCUGCAAGGGUUUUCCAAAAC